CCUGAUCCAGCACGCCGCGUGAGGGAUGACGGCCUUCGGGUUGUAAACCUCUUUCAGCAGGGACGAAGCGAAAGUGACGGUACCUGCAGAAGAAGGACCGGCCAACUACGUGCCAGCAGCCGCGGUAAUACGUAGGGUCCGAGCGUUGUCCGGAAUUAUUGGGCGUAAAGGGCUCGUAGGCGGUUUGUCACGUCGGGAGUGAAAACUCAGGGCUCAACCCUGAGCGUGCUUCCGAUACGGGCUAACUAGAGGUAUGCAGGGGAGAAUGGAAUUCCUGGUGUAGCGGUGGAAUGCGCAGAUAUCAGGAGGAACACCGGUGGCGAAGGCGGUUCUCUGGGCAUUACCUGACGCUGAGGAGCGAAAGCAUGGGGAGCGAACAGGAUUAGAUACCCUGGUAGUCCAUGCCGUAAACGUUGGGCGCUAGGUGUGGGGACCUUCCACGGUCUCCGUGCCGCAGCUAACGCAUUAAGCGCCCCGCCUGGGGAGUACGGCCGCAAGGCUAAAACUCAAAGGAAUUGACGGGGGCCCGCACAAGCGGCGGAGCAUGCUGAUUAAUUCGAUGCAACGCGAAGAACCUUACCUGGGUUUGACAUAUACCGGAAAAGCUGCAGAGAUGCAGCCCCCCUUGUGGUC
Molecule: ribosomal RNA, 633 nt
Filed under: Aeromicrobium sp. Ri2Ps_5118
Lineage: Bacteria; Bacillati; Actinomycetota; Actinomycetes; Propionibacteriales; Nocardioidaceae
Description: bacterial SSU rRNA
Rfam family: Bacterial small subunit ribosomal RNA
Source: RNAcentral